This 63-nucleotide ribosomal RNA is filed under the name Finegoldia magna. RNAcentral describes it as "partial 23S ribosomal RNA". The record is from RNAcentral. Lineage: Bacteria; Bacillati; Bacillota; Tissierellia; Tissierellales; Peptoniphilaceae.
AGGUCAGAGGUGUAAAGAUAGUAAUAUCAAAGCUAACUGAUACUAAUAAAUCGAAAACUUGAC